RNAcentral lists this ribosomal RNA (265 nucleotides) under uncultured bacterium. RNAcentral's name for it is "partial 16S ribosomal RNA". The record is from RNAcentral.
CUGCUGCCUUCCGUAGGAGUUUGGGCCGUGUCUCAGUCCCAAUGUGGCCGUCCACCCUCUCAGGCCGGCUACUGAUCGUCGCCCUGGUGGGCCGUUACCCCGCCAACAAGCUAAUCAGACGCGGGUCCAUCUUACACCACCGGAGUUUUUCACACAAAUCCAUGCGGCUUCGUGCGCUUAUGCGGUAUUAGCACCUAUUUCUAAGUGUUAUCCCCCAGUGUAAGGCAGGUUACCCACGCGUUACUCACCCGUCCGCCACUAAGUA